RNAcentral lists this ribosomal RNA (497 nucleotides) under uncultured bacterium. RNAcentral's name for it is "partial 16S ribosomal RNA". It matches the Rfam family "Bacterial small subunit ribosomal RNA", at positions 28 to 507 of the family's 1533-position model. The record is from RNAcentral.
GAUGAACGCUGGCGGCGUGCCUAAUACAUGCAAGUCGAGCGAACGGACGAGAAGCUUGCUUCUCUGAUGUUAGCGGCGGACGGGUGAGUAACACGUGGAUAACCUACCUAUAAGACUGGGAUAACUUCGGGAAACCGUAGCUAAUACCGGAUAAUAUUUUGAACCGCAUGGUUCAAAAGUGAAAGACGGUCUUGCUGUCACUUAUAGAUGGAUCCGCGCUGCAUUAGCUAGUUGGUAAGGUAACGGCUUACCAAGGCAACGAUGCAUAGCCGACCUGAGAGGGUGAUCGGCCACACUGGAACUGAGACACGGUCCAGACUCCUACGGGAGGCAGCAGUAGGGAAUCUUCCGCAAUGGGCGAAAGCCUGACGGAGCAACGCCGCGUGAGUGAUGAAGGUCUUCGGAUCGUAAAACUCGGUUAUUAGGGAAGAACAUAUGUGUAAGUAACUGUGCACAUCUUGACGGUACCUAAUCAGAAAGCCACGGCUAACUACGUG